RNAcentral lists this ribosomal RNA (251 nucleotides) under uncultured prokaryote. Its description in RNAcentral is "partial 16S ribosomal RNA". It matches the Rfam family "Bacterial small subunit ribosomal RNA", at positions 524 to 774 of the family's 1533-position model. The record is from RNAcentral.
UACGGAGGAUGCAAGCGUUAUCCGGAUUCAUUGGGUUUAAAGGGUGCGUAGGCGGGCUAUUAAGUCAGUGGUGAAAUCCUGCAGCUUAACUGCAGAACUGCCGUUGAUACUGAUAGUCUUGAGUUUGGUUAAGGUAGGCGGAAUGUGUAAUGUAGCGGUGAAAUGCUUAGAUAUUACACAGAACACCAAUUGCGUAGGCAGCUUGCUGGGCCAUUACUGACGCUGAUGCACGAAAGCGUGGGGAGCGAACA